RNAcentral lists this transfer RNA (75 nucleotides) under compost metagenome. Its description in RNAcentral is "tRNA-Asp". The record is from RNAcentral.
GCGGCGGUAGUCGAAGGCGGGCCGUGGCAGCGGAUUAUCAGUUCGCCAUUGCAGCGUUGUGCGCGCUUCGCCGCC